Canis lupus familiaris (dog) is the source of this 3763-nucleotide long non-coding RNA. RefSeq lists it as uncharacterized. NCBI's taxonomy places the organism in Eukaryota, Metazoa, Chordata, Mammalia, Carnivora, Canidae. The transcript has 3 exons. The record is from RefSeq and is a predicted model, not a curated record.
CACCCUGCUCCCUUUCUGGGAGUAUGGGAUUCAAGGAAACAGAACGUUCCUUCCCCUAGCAGGGUGUGUGGGGGAUGAGCAGGUGAUACCUGGUUGCUCCAACUCCUGCCCUCCCAGCACAGGGAGGGUGAUUCGCCCAGGGCAGGGGUUAAACAACUUACUCUGGCGUAAAAGGACACAGGCUGCAGGAGGCCAGAACAGAACACUUUAUGGGACAGCUACACAGGAGCAGGACCACACACCAGCCAGCCUCUGCUUGUCUCUCUCAGCCAGGCCCCUCGCAGCCUCACUUCUCUCUCUGAGGUGUUCAUCUGAGCCUGGUUGAGAGGGACCAAAAACCUGCCCCCCCUCCCACCUCCACCAAGAAAAGGUCCUGGAACUGCCGCAGCCUCUGCUUAGCACCCUCCAAGUCACUGGGCACGUGGUGCUGCAGGAGAAGCCUGAGUCGGCGGCCUGGGUGUGUGGAUGCCAGUUCCUCAUCUUGGAUGUGCAGCUGCCCCAUGACAUCCAGCUCCAGCCCAGCCCAGAGCAGCUGCAAGGGGAGCCAUCUGAACUCAGGCUCUAACACCCAGUUAAGUCCAGCCCAACCCAGCCUCCAGGGAGCCCCUUGGCAGCCAAAAGCAUCAGCUGCAAAGCUUGGUUCUAUCACCAAGGCAUUGGCCCUCCAGCUACAUGGCAGGCUGGCUGGGUGGCCCCGUGGCCCUGCAGAGCUGAGCACUUGCACUUCAGGCACUCAGCCACCAGCCGGACAGACCCCAGGCUGCCAGGGGUAGUCCUGGCACCCAGAAGACAGAUCUGCAGCUUCAAGUAUCUUUUGCGUCAGCCCUGGGACCUUCUUUGCUUGCUUAUGACAUUCUCAGCUCUGGCUAGAGUCCAGGAAGAUUACCUUAGCCCAAGCAUGAUGAGCUGUUAGAUUGGAGGGAGCAGGAGCAGGGUUCAAGACUCAAAAAUGAGCCAUGGCUCAUGGAAUCCUGUGGAUGCUUGGAUGGGAUGAAGGUGGGUGGGGGUUUCCCUGGUUCCACCCAGAACUUUCAAUCCAUCAACUGCCACCACACAGUCUGCUAUGACAAGGGGUUUUCUCCUUCAGUUGUUGAGGGCCCUCGCUUUCAGGAGACGCCAUGCCACCCCCAUCCUAAGCCCUGUAGACAGUGAGAACUUUCCAUUUCAGCUCCAGAAUCCCUUUCUCAGAAGUCUAUCCAAGCCUGCAGGUCACUGUGUCUGCAGCUGCACUAUUUAGUCCCAAUAAGAGAGAUGCCUGGGUUGGUAGUCUCUUUAAGGGAAAGGGGGAAAAUCCCUGAUAAAUCUCCCCUCCCAAGUCAAGCUUCACCUCUACCCUAAGCACACAAGAAGUGGUUGGUCUACAGAUUUUAUUUACAGGGAUGCUCAGUUAGACGUUAAACACUUUCUAGUAUCCACAUGCCUUCCCUGAAGCUACUUGGUUUCAGGUUUCUUGUCUCCGGGUUCAAGCUUGAGACUCUCGGGGGGCUGUCGAUAGGCAGGGAAGGCCUCCCACGGGCUGUUCAGGUCGAACUUGCGGAACUCCUGGGCCAACUCGACCGGCUCGGCCACGACCCGCUUCACUUCAUCAUCAUACCGUAACUGCAGAAGAGAAAGACAAGGAGGAAGACCUUGUUCAGAGCCACUAAGCUGCUUAAGGAACCUACUUUCCCCAAGCCAUGGGUGACUUCACCAACCCCAUUACUUCUCUCUCAGCAAGUCUCCACGCACACCUAUAUUACCAAUCCAGUCACAUCCCACCCUUAAUCCAAAAAGGCCUGCCAUCACCCAGCCAGGCUCCCCUGCUCACCAUCCCAUCACAAACUCUGAUCUCCGUUUCCAGCACAGCUGACUCUGCUCACCCAACCACUCUUUACAAGGAUAUGGUAAGCAUUGGUCCAGGACUAGGAAGCAAGCCAGUGGAUGAAAAAAGUCAACCUGAACUGGCAAGCACUCAUGUUCAGACCAUGUGGCUCUGGCAUUAUCACUGUCAAGAUGCAACGCAGUAAAUUUGGCAUUGCUUUUUUCGGUGGGAGAUUCAGUUAGGUAAGGUAAAGACGAACAGGUGCUGGGUGAAGAGGCAAAUCAGAUAAGGGAGACUGAAAACAAGGAGAGGGAAGGAGUCCUGACCAGAAGUAGCUGGAGAAGCAAAUGAGACUGAAAAACACUGAGAAAGCAGGCAUAUUCAGCCUGCUGUGGAAGAAAGGGCUGGAUUGUCACUAUCUCAACAUCUUUAAAAAGGUACUUUGCUACAAAAUCACGUGUGUAUGUAUGCAGUAGACUAAUCUUCCUGCUCAUAAACAACCUGUAGCACAAAGGUGGUAAAGCAAAGCACCAAAAUUCUUCAUAAGGUCCCUGUAGUCACAUGUUACUGAUCCUGCCUCUGACCAUUCUCCAUUUAGUGUCUUCCCUAUCAGCUUCCUUCUCAGAGAUCCAGAGCAGGGUAAAAUGGUCCUUCACUUUCAGAUCUUGGGGACAGACUGUGUCCUCAGGGUUGCUUUGGUCAUUAAAAUGAUCAUUAUGAUAAUGGCUAAUGCCAACUGAGUGUCUACAGUACACCAGGCUUUAAGCAUCCAUCAUUCAGCUCAUGAUAAAUCUUGUUAAGUACUACUGUUCCCAUUUUACAGCUGAGAAAACGGUCAUAGAGAAUUUCAGUAACAGGCCCUAGAUUACAAAAGUGAUGCUGGGAUUUGAAUCCAGAGCCUAUGCUCUUAAACCACCACAAUCCACAGACCAGGUUUCCUGCCCUGCCCAGGACACCCCAGUUCCCUGCCAGUCCUUCCCUGAGGCUGCUGCCCCAGUUCCAAGGUUCCUUCUACCUCAACGUAGCCAGACAGUGGAAAGUCUUUCCGGAAAGGAUGUCCUUCAAAGCCAUAGUCUGUCAGGAUCCUUCUUAGGUCAGGGUGGUUAGCAAAGAAGACUCCAAACAUGUCCCAGAUCUAGAAAAAAAAGAGGCUCUCAGGUAACUAGUCCAUUAAGGCCAACACAGAGGUGAGGACGUGCUGCAUGCAAUAGUUUCAACCAAUUCUGCAAAUCUGGCCUAGACACAGGAUCCACCAUGUCCAGUAACUUACCUCUCUCUCAUACCAGUUAGCUGCCUUAUACACAGAAACAGUGGACUCAAUGGGUGUCAGCUCAUCUGUGUAAGUCUUCACACGGAUCCGAGAGUUGAAACGCAGAGAAAGCAGGUUGUAAACAAUCUAGGGAGAAGAGAAGGAGCUGGAGGACCAAGAUGGCCACAGGGUCUGGGAUGGGAGUCCCUGAGUGAGAACAAUGAUGAGGACACAAGGUGGGUUAGGGUUCUCUACUUGUGAACAUGUCUUCUGUCCUGAAGCUCAAAAAUUUCAAGAUCCUCUUACAUUUACAACUACUUACAAAGGCCUAAGCCAUGCUAUAGCUUAGCGAGUCAGCAUGCUUGUCUUUGCAAAUGCUAUUCUCUCUGUCUGGGAUGACUCUGGACCCCCCUCUCCCAGCCCCAAUCCUUACUGGGGUAAUUCUGGUCUCUUGGUCAUUCACAAAGAUUCAGCACAAACAUUCUCUGUUCAAGGCCUCCCAGACAGGGCUAAGUGCCCCUCCUGUGUUCUCAUAACAUCUAACGUCCCAUGUGUUAUAUGUUACAACGGUCAGCUUUUUACGUAUCCUUCUCCCUCACUAGAGCUGGGGGACUCCUUGAAGGUAGGUAUUGCAUGUUACUUCUCCCUUGUUCCAAGAUCUGACAAAUAGCAGAUGAUCAGUAAAAAAAAAAUUUUUUUUUUAAAGAUUUAUU